This 59-nucleotide transfer RNA is filed under the name Panagrellus redivivus. RNAcentral describes it as "tRNA-Gln". Lineage: Eukaryota; Metazoa; Nematoda; Chromadorea; Rhabditida; Panagrolaimidae. The record is from RNAcentral.
UACACUUUAGUUUAAAUUUUUAGAACAUUUGGCCUUGACCCAAAAAGUUCACAGUGUAU